CGCAUUCCUGGGCCGGCUGGGCGCGGCUGGGCAGGCGGCUCGAAUUUGACCCGAGCGGGCCGCGAUCGGCCAACGAUUUGCGGUACCCUUUGACCCAGGCGGGGCGCGAUCCGCCUAGGAUUUGGGGUCCCUUGGCGCCGAACCCUGAGUUGCCAGAUUUAGCAAGUAAAAGUACAGUUCUUCUAAAUUUGAAUUUCAGACAAGACAGGUUUUAGGGUUCAUCUCAUGUAAUGUUGAGAAGGAUUUCUCUCAUCUACCCUUCUUUGGGAGAUACGACUAAAACCAACAAAAGCCAAAUUUGGUAAAUAAGAAGUUUAAACAAGUGCUUCUCUGUACAGCUCAUCCACUUCCUCAUCCGUAAACCGAUCCCCCAUGGUUGUCAGCAGCUCUCUCAAGUAAUCUUCCUGAAUGGUGCCUGGAGAAUAAAGAACAAGGGAUCAGAAUACAUACUAUUCUGAGGGUUAAUUACAAAGAAUAUCUAUACUUGACUAAGCAUGUUCUGUAUGUUACAAACUAUAAACAUGCAAAUAUAUGAACUGCAGGGUGUCCACCUACUUAAAACAGCCUCAGCAGAGAAGUGCCUAGAAAAAUGCCUAGCUGCUUAGCAGCAUUGCUCUGCUCUAUCAUUUGCUCUAUCAUUCUGCCUCCAUAUUCAGCUUCUGAUCUCUUGAUAAGAGAGACUAAACCUAUGCCUAAACAAAGUAAUAAAAAGUAUGGUUAAAG
RNAcentral lists this non-coding RNA (723 nucleotides) under Pongo abelii (Sumatran orangutan). Lineage: Eukaryota; Metazoa; Chordata; Mammalia; Primates; Hominidae. The record is from RNAcentral.